This 489-nucleotide ribosomal RNA is filed under the name uncultured bacterium. RNAcentral's name for it is "bacterial SSU rRNA". It matches the Rfam family "Bacterial small subunit ribosomal RNA", at positions 29 to 526 of the family's 1533-position model. The record is from RNAcentral.
AAUGAACGUUGGCGGCGUGGAUUAGGCAUGCAAGUCGCGCGAGAAGUUUCCUUCGGGAGACGGACAGCGGCGGAAGGGAGAGGAAUAAGUAGAAAUCUGCCCUCGGGACGGGGAUAGCGGCGGGAAACUGCCGGUAAUACCCGAUAACAUCUUUGGAUCAAAUGGUGUGAUUCCGCCUGAGGAUGAGUCUACUUCCUAUUAGCUAGUUGGUGUGGUAAUGGCUCACCAAGGCAACGAUGGGUAGCGGGUGUGAGAGCACGAUCCGCCUCACUGGGACUGAGACACUGCCCAGACACCUACGGGUGGCUGCAGUCGAGAAUCUUCGGCAAUGGGGGAAACCCUGACCGAGCGACGCCGCGUGCGGGAUGAAGGCCCUCGGGUUGUAAACCGCUGUCGUAAGGGAACAAAUCUAAGAGGGUACUCCCUUUUAGUUGAGUGAUCUUAGGAGGAAGGACGGGCUAAGUUCGUGCCAGCAGCCGCGGUAAUGUC